GCUAGUAAUGGCAGGUCAGCAUACNGCCGUGAAUACGUUCCCGGGCCUUGUACACACCGCCCGUCACACCAUGAGAGUUGGGAAUACCCGAAGCCUGUGAGCUAACUUAUAGAGGCAGCAGUCGAAGGUAGAAUCAAUGAUUGGGGUGAAGUCGUAACAAGGUACC
This 166-nucleotide ribosomal RNA is filed under the name uncultured bacterium. Its description in RNAcentral is "partial 16S ribosomal RNA". It matches the Rfam family "Bacterial small subunit ribosomal RNA", at positions 1334 to 1500 of the family's 1533-position model. The record is from RNAcentral.